RNAcentral lists this ribosomal RNA (200 nucleotides) under uncultured bacterium. RNAcentral describes it as "partial 16S ribosomal RNA". It matches the Rfam family "Bacterial small subunit ribosomal RNA", at positions 328 to 539 of the family's 1533-position model. The record is from RNAcentral.
ACGCUCGACACCUACGGGAGCAGCAGUCGGGAAUAUUGCGCAAUGGAGGAAACUCUGACGCAGUGACGCCGCGUGCAGGAAGAAGGUUUUCGGAUUGUAAACUGCUUUAGACAGGGAAGAAAGAAAUGACAGUACCUGUAGAAUAAGCUCCGGCUAACUACGUGCCAGCAGCCGUGGUAAUCUGAGCGGGCUGGCAAGGC